Molecule: ribosomal RNA, 463 nt
Filed under: uncultured Syntrophomonas sp.
Lineage: Bacteria; Bacillati; Bacillota; Clostridia; Eubacteriales; Syntrophomonadaceae
Description: bacterial SSU rRNA
Rfam family: Bacterial small subunit ribosomal RNA
Source: RNAcentral
CCCGGCACAAGCGGUGGAGCAUGUGGUUUAAUUCGAUGCAACGCGAAGAACCUUACCAGGUCUUGACAUCUGUAGAAUCCGGUUGAAAGAUCGGAGUGCCUUCGGGAGCUACAAGACAGGUGGUGCAUGGUUGUCGUCAGCUCGUGUCGUGAGAUGUUGGGUUAAGUCCCGCAACGAGCGCAACCCUUGCUAUUAGUUGCUAACAGGUAGAGCUGAGCACUCUAAUGGGACUGCCCGUGACAAGCGGGAGGAAGGUGGGAUGACGUCAAGUCCUCAUGGCCUUUAUGCUUAGGGCUACACACGUGCUACAAUGGGUGGUACAAAGAGAAGCCAACUCGCGAGAGCGCGCCAAUCUCAAAAAGCCAUCCUCAGUUCGGAUUGGAGUCUGCAACUCGACUCCAUGAAGUUGGAAUCGCUAGUAAUCGCGGAUCAGCAUGCCGCGGUGAAUACGUUCCCGGGCCUU